GACGAACGCUGGCGGCGUGCCUAAUACAUGCAAGUCGAACGCAUUUUCUUUCACCGUAGCUUGCUACACCGAAAGAAAAUGAGUGGCGAACGGGUGAGUAACACGUGGGUAACCUGCCCAUCAGCGGGGGAUAACACUUGGAAACAGGUGCUAAUACCGCAUAAUUCCAUUUACCGCAUGGUAAAUGGAUGAAAGGCGCUUUUGCGUCACUGAUGGAUGGACCCGCGGUGCAUUAGCUAGUUGGUGGGGUAACGGCCUACCAAGGCUGCGAUGCAUAGCCGACCUGAGAGGGUGAUCGGCCACACUGGGACUGAGACACGGCCCAGACUCCUACGGGAGGCAGCAGUAGGGAAUCUUCGGCAAUGGACGCAAGUUUGACCGAGCAACGCCGCGUGAGUGAAGAAGGUUUUCGGAUCGUAAAACUCUGUUGUUAGAGAAGAACAAGGAUGAGAGUGGAAAGUUCAUCCCUUGACGGUAUCUAACCAGAAAGCCACGGCUAACUACGUG
This 507-nucleotide ribosomal RNA is filed under the name uncultured bacterium. RNAcentral's name for it is "partial 16S ribosomal RNA". It matches the Rfam family "Bacterial small subunit ribosomal RNA", at positions 28 to 507 of the family's 1533-position model. The record is from RNAcentral.